RNAcentral lists this ribosomal RNA (484 nucleotides) under uncultured bacterium. RNAcentral describes it as "partial 16S ribosomal RNA". It matches the Rfam family "Bacterial small subunit ribosomal RNA", at positions 28 to 507 of the family's 1533-position model. The record is from RNAcentral.
GAUUAACGCUAGCGGCAGGCAUAAUACAUGCAAGUUGAACGGCAGCACAGGUAGCAAUACUGGGUGGCGAGUGGCGCACGGGUGCGUAACACGUAUGCAACCUACCCUAUACAGGCGAAUAACCUUUAGAAAUGAGGGCUAAUACGCCGUAGUAUUACAGAUGGGCAUCUAUUUGUAAUUAAAGAUUUAUCGGUAUAGGAUGGGCAUGCGUCCCAUUAGUUAGUUGGUAAGGUAACGGCUUACCAAGACGAUGAUGGGUAGGGGAUCUGAGAGGACUUACCCCCACACUGGUACUGAGACACGGACCAGAAUCCGACGGGAGGCAGCAGUAAGGAAUAUUGGGCAAUGGCGGCGAGGCUGACCCAGCCAUGCCGCGUGCAGGAAGACGGCCUUAUGGGUUGUAAACUGCUUUUAUACGGGAAUAAUAGAGUGUACGCGUACAUUUAUGAAAGUAUCGUAUGAAUAAGCAUCGGCUAACUCCGUG